Molecule: unclassified non-coding RNA, 149 nt
Filed under: soil metagenome
Description: partial internal transcribed spacer 1
Source: RNAcentral
UCGUGGAGCUACGGCUCCUUCGAGGGAGAACCCUUGCCUUUUCGAGCACCUGUUUGUUUCCUCGGCAGGCCCGCCUGCCAAUGAGGGACCUCUUAAACUCUUGCAAUACAACCUGAACACAAACUGUCUGAAUAAAAAAAUCUAAAUCA